RNAcentral lists this unclassified non-coding RNA (324 nucleotides) under soil metagenome. Its description in RNAcentral is "partial contains 5.8S ribosomal RNA, internal transcribed spacer 2, and large subunit ribosomal RNA". The stretch from base 1 to 120 matches the Rfam family "5.8S ribosomal RNA", at positions 35 to 154 of the family's 154-position model. The record is from RNAcentral.
GAUGAAGAACGUAGCGAAAUGCGAUAGGUAAUGUGAAUUGCAGAAUUCAGUGAAUCAUCGAAUCUUUGAACGCACAUUGCGCCCUGUGGUAUUCCGCAGGGCAUGCCUGUUCGAGCGUCAUUUCAACCCUCAAGCCUCGCUUGGUGUUGGGCCCUGCCCGCCGCGGCCGGCCCUAAAGAUAGUGGUGGCGCCGCCUGGCCCUCAGCGUAGUACAGCUCUCGCUCCAGGGUCCGGCGGCAGCCUGCCAGAACCCCCCAACUCCGUGGUUGACCUCGGAUCAGGUAGGGAUACCCGCUGAACUUAAGCAUAUCAAUAAGCGGAGGA